This 497-nucleotide ribosomal RNA is filed under the name uncultured bacterium. RNAcentral's name for it is "partial 16S ribosomal RNA". It matches the Rfam family "Bacterial small subunit ribosomal RNA", at positions 28 to 507 of the family's 1533-position model. The record is from RNAcentral.
GAUGAACGCUGGCGGCGUGCCUAAUACAUGCAAGUCGAGCGAACAGACGAGGAGCUUACUCCUCUGACGUUAGCGGCGGACGGGUGAGUAACACGUGGAUAACCUACCUAUAAGACUGGGAUAACUUCGGGAAACCGGAGCUAAUACCGGAUAACAUGUUGAACCGCAUGGUUCAACAGUGAAAGACGGUCUUGCUGUCACUUAUAGAUGGAUCCGCGUCGCAUUAGCUAGUUGGUAAGGUAACGGCUUACCAAGGCAACGAUGCGUAGCCGACCUGAGAGGGUGAUCGGCCACACUGGAACUGAGACACGGUCCAGACUCCUACGGGAGGCAGCAGUAGGGAAUCUUCCGCAAUGGGCGAAAGCCUGACGGAGCAACGCCGCGUGAGUGAAGAAGGUCUUCGGAUCGUAAAACUCUGUUACUAGGGAAGAACAAAUGUGUAAGUAACUAUGCACGUCUUGACGGUACCUAAUCAGAAAGCCACGGCUAACUACGUG